CACACUGGGACUGAGACACGGCCCAGACUCCUACGGGAGGCAGCAGUGGGGAAUCUUGCGCAAUGGGCGAAAGCCUGACGCAGCGACGCCGCGUGCGGGAAGAAGGCCUUCGGGUUGUAAACCGCUUUCAGGAGGGACGAAGCCACUCGGGUUAAUAGCCCAGAGGGUGACGGUACCUCCAGAAGAAGCCCCGGCUAACUACGUGCCAGCCGCCGCCGUAACAC
RNAcentral lists this ribosomal RNA (224 nucleotides) under uncultured bacterium. Its description in RNAcentral is "partial 16S ribosomal RNA". It matches the Rfam family "Bacterial small subunit ribosomal RNA", at positions 309 to 526 of the family's 1533-position model. The record is from RNAcentral.